AGUGAACGCUGGCGGCAGGCCUAACACAUGCAAGUCGAACGAGUGGCGGACGGGUGAGUAAUAUAUCGGAAUCUACUCUAUCGUGGGGGAUAACUUCGGGAAACUUUAGCUAAUACCGCAUACGAUCAGAUGAGCCGAUAUGGGAUUAGCUAGUUGGUGGGGUAAAGGCCCACCAAGGCGACGAUCCCUAGCUGGUCUGAGAGGAUGACCAGCCACACUGGAACUGAGACACGGUCCAGACUCCUACGGGAGGCAGCAGUGGGGAAUAUUGGACAAUGGGCGCAAGCCUGAUCCAGCCAUGCCGCGUGUGUGAAGAAGGCCUUCGGGUUGUAAAGCCCUUUUGUUGGGAAAGCGUUACUCAAAGAAGAAGCACCGGCUAACUUCGUGCCAGCAGCCGCGGUAAUAC
Molecule: ribosomal RNA, 406 nt
Filed under: uncultured bacterium
Lineage: Bacteria
Description: partial 16S ribosomal RNA
Rfam family: Bacterial small subunit ribosomal RNA
Source: RNAcentral